GUGGGACUGUUUGUGAUGGGCGAGGUCCAGCUCCGAGCAGCGCCGCUCUCCACUACAGCAGUAAGUGUCUGAUGAUCCCAUGGGUGAUUCGGUGCCUUCACAGUGCCCUGGAAAGUGCCUGCUCUGCACCUCGGGCAGUUUGGUGGAGUUAGGCUGACUUCAGACAGGAUGAUCUUCUACGACUUUUCUGCGACUUCAAAAGAGAGAUGUGACUGCUUUCCUCAACUGACGGUAAGAGGAAUGAGGACCUGACAGCUCAGAGGGGAGGUGAUCUGAAUUUCUCGUCAAUCUCCUGAUCUUACACUCCUUGAGAGGUGAGGUACUGAAAUGACCAC
Pyrgilauda ruficollis (rufous-necked snowfinch) is the source of this 335-nucleotide long non-coding RNA. RefSeq lists it as uncharacterized. The transcript has 3 exons. The record is from RefSeq and is a predicted model, not a curated record. NCBI's taxonomy places the organism in Eukaryota, Metazoa, Chordata, Aves, Passeriformes, Passeridae.